UCCAAGUAAUCAAGCAAGUAAGCAACCAAGUGAGAGUGAGAAGCAACUUGUUCAGCUCUUCGGAUUAUGCAUUCAUGGUGAAGAGAGGAUGCUGGUAUAUGAGUACAUGCCAAACAUAAGUUUGGACAACUUUUUAUUUGAUUCUACCAGAGCUCUACUAGAUUGGAAGAGGCGUUUCAGUAUAAUUGAAGGAAUAGCUCAAGGAUUGCUUUACUUGCACAAAUACUCGAGAAUGAGAGUAAUUCAUAGAGAUUUGAAACCUAGUAACAUAUUACUUGAUGAAAAUAUGAACCCCAAAAUAUCAGAUUUUGGUAUGGCAAGGAUUUUCACCUAUAAUGAAUUGGAAGCAAAUACUGUUAGGAUUGUUGGGACACGUGAUUACAUGUCUCCCGAAUAUGCCAUGGAGGGGGAUAUUUUCAAUAAAAUCUGAUGUCUUCAGUUUUGGGGUGUUAAUUCUCGAAAUCAUAAGUGGCAGGAAAAACAACAGCUUCUACAAUGAUGAGCGUGUGCUAAAUUUAGUAGGAUAUACAUGGGAGCUAUGGAAAGAAGGCGCAGGGAUAGAACUAAUGGAUCCAACACUAACGGAUUCAUGUGUUCGGGGAUCAAUUUCUUAGAUGCGUCCAUGUCGGUCUACUAUGCGUGGAGGAAAAUGCAGGUGAUUGGCCGACCAUCUCCAAUGUGAUAUCUAUGUUGACAAAUGAAAGUGUGGCAUUACCUAUGCCAACAAAGCCAGCAUUUUUCACAGAAAGAAAUCAUGUGGCCGGUGGAAAGGAGCCAGAAGAUAUGUCGAUAAAUUGUAUGUCCAAUUCCGAAAUUGUUGCGCGUUGAAGGUUGUGGCUUGGUUUUAUAUACUUGCAAGAGCAGUGUCAGUUCAUUUUUAUCACCACUCUUGAUUUUAAAUUCUGUGCGUGUAUUUGUUUACACUGCAAUCACCUCGUAGAGGGCAAUGCAUGGUUCCUGAAGCAUGCAAUGGGACGGUUGGUUAAUUGCCUUUCGAGGUAGUUUGUACUGUAAAAUCCCAGUUUUAUCUUACAAGCUCGAUCGUACUAAAAGAUUGGUCUCUGGCGUAAUGAAUGGUAAGGAUGCAGCACCUGAUGUGCGAAUUUCUUUUUAUGAGAAUAAGUUCUUUUUAGUGAAACAAUUCCAAGCAUGACCAAGCACCUAUUGAUUGAAGUGCUAUUAUGGUUUAAGCACAUGGUGCUUUUGCUAAAGUGUCCUUAAGUUUUAGAUUGAAUCAAUUCGAUUAUCUCCAAUUCCUUGAGGGGAGGGAUUCCAUUCUCCAAUUUCUUGAGUGGAGGGAUUCCAUUCUCCAAUUCCUUGAGUGGAGGGAUUCCAUUCUCCAAUUCCUUGUGGAGAGAUUCCAUUCCUCUGAACUUGUUUAGUGCUGCAAGUUGCCUUGUUCAAUUAUGCAGAAAAUCAGACAAGAUAUUUACACAGCCGAUGACGGCAGCCUCACACCCUUCAAAGGUUUACCCAUACCGAGUGGCAAUGCCGAGUCGUGGUUGUUAACAAUGUACCUCAACGGAGAGCUCCAGAUUAUAAGGAGAGACAACGGCAGCAUAUUCGUGCUACUCACGAAAGGCCGCAGCCCCUCCUGAAUCCCUGAACCAAGCUCAACAGAGCAACUUGUAUCUUGUGUUUUAUAUAUAUGUAUGUACCUAUUCAAGGACAUGAGAGGUAAUUUUCUACAUAGAAAAUAAUAAGGAGACACACUUUUGUUA
Molecule: non-coding RNA, 1721 nt
Organism: Malus domestica (apple)
Lineage: Eukaryota; Viridiplantae; Streptophyta; Magnoliopsida; Rosales; Rosaceae
Source: RefSeq, a predicted model, not a curated record